Camelina sativa (false flax) is the source of this 1899-nucleotide non-coding RNA. NCBI's taxonomy places the organism in Eukaryota, Viridiplantae, Streptophyta, Magnoliopsida, Brassicales, Brassicaceae. The record is from RefSeq and is a predicted model, not a curated record.
CCCAGAAAAAAACUCACCCUAGAAACAAUUUCAUCCUUAUUCUAAUCACUUCUUCAUAAGAUCGGAUCCAACAAUCGAUCUUUAAGUUAUGUGUUCUGAAGGUAUGUCGUCUAUCAAAGCUAAUAAUUUAUUCUGUUAAAUUCACCAUUCUCAUCUAGUUUAUGAACAAUUUAUUAUGUUUUACAAAUUUUGAAAAUACUUAUUUAUGUAAGUAUAAAUUAUAAAUAGUCAAUUUAUUUAAUAAGUUACUCAACUCCUUUAAAAGUAGAUAAUUAUAUUUUGUUAUAUUAAUUUCAAACCCACGCGACGCGUAAAAUAAUAAAGUAAGGUUUUCUUCACACUAAUGCUAUAAUAAGCUGACAAAUGGCAUUAUUUUCUUUCAACAUGUGUCAUUAAUCUCAUAUUUAAGUAUAAUAUUUUCAUAAUUACUAAAUUUAAUUAUAUUUUCAUACCAAAAAAAAUCUCAUCAUUUUCAAUGUCAUUUUAGUAGUUAUGUAAUUAAAUAAUAAAAUAUUAAUAUUCAAAAGAUCAUUUAAUUUAACUCUAAAUGAAGUCAUUGAUGGUAAAUGUUUUUGGAAAAAAUGUCAUAAAAGUCCUGAACUUAUCAAAAGUGUUGAAAAACAGCAUGAAUUUUUGUUAUGGUAGAUUAAAUAGCUAACUUUCUAGUUAAAUGGUUAACUUUGACUUGAACAAAAAAAGGACAUCCUAAAAUCAACUGACAAAAAAAUAUUAAAACUGGGAUUCAAACCCAUAACCAAUAAAGACAACAACAAGCUACUUAACCACUGGACUAGAGAACUUUUAUUGAUGUUAUUACACACACAAAUAUACUUAUGUAAUCAUGUGCAUGUGAAGAUGAAAUAAUCGAUUUGUUCGGAUCAUUCAUCACUUGUAAAUUCUAGUUGUUGUUACUUCUUUUUGUGGUAGCAACAAUCUUAAGAGGGAGAGAGAAUCAUGAAAAGUUUAUGUAAAAAACAAGACAACAGUAUCUCACCUAUUUUUUUCCUCUACAAGCUCCAAAAAGAGUUUACCUCGUAAACCGAAAGCUAACGCAGACGCAAGACCAAAGACACAUCUUCUUAUUUAUAGUCUCUGAGUGUUUGAGUUAGAGACAUGGAGAGAAUGUCAGUUUGUCUAUGUCUUGUGUUCUUCUUCUUCUUAACUGUUGUUGCAGAAGCAAAGUAUCCUCCUGGAACCAUCUUUUUGUCCUUGAGACAAAACAUGAAGAUUUCCAAGUCAAAGGCAGAGUUAUACCCUUUCACUUUCAGACUCGUUAUUUCCCUCAGAAUCUAGACCACUGUAGUUUCCAACCUGAGAGCUACAGUAUCUUCCAUGAGAAACUACCUCAUCAGCAGCCAUUUCUGGCGCAAAGGUGGCCCCAUCUUUGUCUAAUUGAAUGCAUGGAGAGUCUAGCCGCCCAGGUCAGCCAAGAAAAUGAGAUACCUGAACGCUGGAUUACGCAAUCUUGAUAAAAAGCUUGAAGCAGAAUCUAUAAGCAUCUCCUGUCAUCAUGUUUGGUGGUUCUUACUUACGGUGGAAGCAGUGCUUGCAGCGUGGUUCGUCAGGCUAAAGUAUCCGCAUAUUGCAAUUGGCGCAUUAGCAUCCUCCUCUGCUCCAGUUCCGCAGUUUGAUAAGACUGUUCCGUCUUCAAGCUUCUACGACACCGUUUCUCAGGAUUUUGAGAAGGGAGGAUUUGAGAUGGAUUUUGAUUGAAAGUGAUCUUACACCGUUUAAAACCGAGUUAAAUAGCGAUUAGAGACCGGUGGUCUACCUAUUAUACGAAGCUCGACAGCCGUUACCACAAUUAAUUUGGUGACACGUGGAAAACGUUGCCAAACCCAUGGAUCGACGAGCUUUUUCAGCCCCAAAACUCUUAUGAGAGUACCGUUUUGUAACUAA